GUUUGAGCAGAAGUAGCUUCUCUUGGGGAAGGAACGGACAAUGCUGCUAGUACGUUAGGAUCAAUUAAUCCUGCAUGCUGAAGUUGUGCAACUACAUCUGCAAUAACUUCUUGUCGCAUAGUUCUCCUUUGUUCUUCCAUUUGUUUCUCCAUUUUUUGCAUCCUUUCUUGCAUUUGUUGCACUACAUCAUUUGUUGCAUUCAAAGUUGGUUCAGAAUUGUCAACUUUCUUUUUCAAAGUUAUCUUUGUAAC
Molecule: long non-coding RNA, 251 nt
Filed under: Solanum tuberosum (potato)
Lineage: Eukaryota; Viridiplantae; Streptophyta; Magnoliopsida; Solanales; Solanaceae
Description: long non-coding RNA (STUB_LNC001830)
Source: RNAcentral